GGCUGCUGUCCUGAGCUCCCCCUGCUCUACCCUGAGGCAGACAUCCACAGCCACAUGAGCUCUGGAGGUCUGGUGGUGAAGAGUCUGGACAGGGACAUGUUUGAUGCUGAGCCCAUGAAGGAGCUGAGUGGACGCAGGCCUCUGGUCUGUACUGAGUUCCAGGGACAGAGGGUCAUACUCAAGGGUUACACUGUGAAUGAGGAGGCAGAGGCCAGAGUGUUGGAGAGAACCAC
Molecule: long non-coding RNA, 233 nt
Organism: Oncorhynchus masou masou (cherry salmon)
Lineage: Eukaryota; Metazoa; Chordata; Actinopteri; Salmoniformes; Salmonidae
Exons: 3
Source: RefSeq, a predicted model, not a curated record